Molecule: non-coding RNA, 81 nt
Organism: Rhodocollybia butyracea
Lineage: Eukaryota; Fungi; Basidiomycota; Agaricomycetes; Agaricales; Omphalotaceae
Source: the annotation of a GenBank genome assembly
GGCCUGAUGGUCUAGGAGUAUGAUUCGUUGUUAGGGUUUACGCUUUCGACGAGGUCCCGGGUUCAAUUCCCGGUCAGGCCC